This 254-nucleotide ribosomal RNA is filed under the name uncultured bacterium. RNAcentral's name for it is "partial 16S ribosomal RNA". It matches the Rfam family "Bacterial small subunit ribosomal RNA", at positions 524 to 776 of the family's 1533-position model. The record is from RNAcentral.
UACGUAGGGGCCUAGCGUUGUCCGGAUUUAUUGGGCGUAAAGAGCUCGUAGGCGGUUUGGUUAGUCAGGCGUGAAAUCUCCACGCUCAACGUGGAGGGGCCACCUGAUACUGCCAUGACUUGAGUCCGGUAGGGGAGUGUGGAAUUCCCGGUGUAGCGGUGAAAUGCGCAGAUAUCGGGAGGAACACCCGUAGCGAAGGCGGCACUCUGGGCCGUGACUGACGCUGAGGAGCGAAAGCGUGGGGAGCAAACAGG